GUGUCAGCCGCCGCGGUAAUACGGAAGGUCCAGGCGUUAUCCGGAUUUAUUGGGUUUAAAGGGAGCGUAGGCGGAUUGUUAAGUCAGCGGUUAAAGGGUGUGGCUCAACCAUGCAUUGCCGUUGAAACUGGCGAUCUUGAGUGCAGACAGGGAUGCCGGAAUUCGUGGUGUAGCGGUGAAAUGCUUAGAUAUCACGAAGGACUCCGAUCGCGAAGGCAGGUGUCCGGGCUGCAACUGACGCUGAGGCUCGAAAGUGUGGGUAUCAAACAGGAUUAGAUACCCUUGUAGUCC
This 291-nucleotide ribosomal RNA is filed under the name uncultured Alloprevotella sp. RNAcentral describes it as "partial 16S ribosomal RNA". It matches the Rfam family "Bacterial small subunit ribosomal RNA", at positions 505 to 796 of the family's 1533-position model. Lineage: Bacteria; Pseudomonadati; Bacteroidota; Bacteroidia; Bacteroidales; Prevotellaceae. The record is from RNAcentral.